AUGGACAUCAUAGCAGUUUUCCAUGCAUUUUAUCAGCUCGCCGGAGGCGACUUUGCAGCCCCGAACCGUGCUAUGAUCGUCCUACUGCCAAAAAAGGACGGUGCAACCAAACUGUCAGACUUCCGCCUAAUUAGCCUAAUUCAUUCGGUGGCCAAGCUAAUCGCCAAAGUCCUCUCGAUCAGGCUAAUGGGUGUGCUAGAUCAACUCAUCUCCCUGGCCGCCCAGACUGGUUUCCAGAAGAAGAAGGGCAUACAUGACAGCUUCCUGUAA
This 270-nucleotide ribosomal RNA is filed under the name Triticum aestivum (bread wheat). Its description in RNAcentral is "partial small subunit ribosomal RNA". The record is from RNAcentral. Lineage: Eukaryota; Viridiplantae; Streptophyta; Magnoliopsida; Poales; Poaceae.